GAUGAAGAACGUAGCGAAAUGCGAUAAGUAAUGUGAAUUGCAGAAUUCAGUGAAUCAUCGAAUCUUUGAACGCACAUUGCGCCCGCCAGUAUUCUGGCGGGCAUGCCUGUUCGAGCGUCAUUUCAACCAUCAAGCCCCCGGCUUGUGUUGGGGACCUGCGGCUGCCGCAGGCCCUGAAAACCAGUGGCGGGCUCGCUGUCACACCGAGCGUAGUAGAUUUUCAUCUCGCUCAGGGCGUGCUGCGGGUUCCGGCCGUAAAAAGCCUUAUUUACCCAUGGUUGACCUCGGAUCAGGUAGGAAGACCCGCUGAACGUAAGCAUAUCAAUAAGCGGAGGA
This 336-nucleotide unclassified non-coding RNA is filed under the name soil metagenome. RNAcentral describes it as "partial contains 5.8S ribosomal RNA, internal transcribed spacer 2, and large subunit ribosomal RNA". The stretch from base 1 to 120 matches the Rfam family "5.8S ribosomal RNA", at positions 35 to 154 of the family's 154-position model. The record is from RNAcentral.